Molecule: long non-coding RNA, 2660 nt
Organism: Anguilla rostrata (American eel)
Lineage: Eukaryota; Metazoa; Chordata; Actinopteri; Anguilliformes; Anguillidae
Exons: 2
Source: RefSeq, a predicted model, not a curated record
UAACAUUCAACGUGAAUUCAUUCACCUGAUAUUUUACACAAUGAAAAGCUAUAUUCAGCCUGCCUGUCUUCACCAGUUAUGUUCAUAAAAUCAGAUACUACAAGGCCAAAAACAGUAAUAUUGACAUUUAAACGUUUAACAGGGUAAAAACAGCAUGUGUCCCAGCCCUCUAUAGACCCACUGCUGUUCACACAUCAGAGCUCCUCUAACUGUGUGUGACAGGAUUUGUAUAGAGGAAGGGGCUUUGCAUACCUGUCCUGCCUCACUGCUCCACACACUUUAAGACCCCCAGCACUGAUCAGUGACUGCCCAGUCCUUUUACAGACACUGACACAGGCAGCGUUAUGAUGAUGUCACACUUUCUACUGCUGGUAAUGCUGGGACUCCUUGUACAGGGAUCAAUGGCAGAUAUAGUCCUGACUCAGUCUCCAGCAGCUCAGUCUGUUCAGCCUGGAGACACUGUCUCUAUCAGGUGUUCAGCCAGUGAGGGUGUGUACAGUGAUCUCCAGUGGUACUUGCUCAAACCUGGUCAGGCUCCUAAACUUCUGAUUUAUGAUGACACAACUCGCCAGACUGGCAUUCCUGAACGUUUCAGUGGUAGUGGAUCUGGGACUCAGUUCACACUGAAAAUCACUGGAGUCCAGGCUGAAGAUGCAGGAGAUUAUUAUUGUCAGCAGGACGAGAGCUUGCCGCUCACACAGUGUUAGAGAGCCGUACAAAAACCUCCCUCAGUCAGACUGCACAGAGACUGCACUGCUGCAGCUGGGACUACUGCAGGUGCUGAGGGGGGAGGCACUGGUCUUGGACAGCAGUACUACCAACUGGGCUGUAGGGGGCAACAACGAGCCACAGCUUUGAAUACACACCUCUCUGUGCUGAAGAGGAGCUGCUCUGUGUCACACACACUGAACCCAUAGCAGAGCUGCUGCUGAACCACACACACUUCUGUACCACAACAUCACAGGCAUCACACAGUACAUCAGCUCACAAGCAGCAAUCAUCUCCAUGUUGCUCUUGAGUUCAGACUAAUGCAGAGGAUGUGUACAUUCUCCCAGAGGUGGAAUGAGUGGGAUUUCCAAUUAAUUGCUUCCUGAAAAGAUGAGUUUGUAUUCAAAACAUUCUCAAUAAUUUAUGUUAUUAAAGGUUUUCUGUUCACAUCAGAUCCAGGUUUAAGAAUAGCUAUGCUGGACUGAAUCAUAGUAUCAGAUUUUUACAAUUUUGAUCACAUGUCUUUCAGUAUUAAUUCUGGUUUCAGUUUGCUCUUCCAUCAUACUUACCUCCAUUACAUUUUCCAUAGACAGUAUGUGCUUACACGGAGGCAUAAAGACAUGGAGGCAUAAGAAUUUUUCAUAUAGUUUUGUUGGACAUAUUUACUUGCAGAUGUGCCACACAGUUACUGCUUCUCCUAUCUAAUAUACUUCUCUGCUUGCACCACCAGUGAAUACCAUCUGUGGUGACACCGAUGAAUCAGAAGUAAAUGAAUGAGCACAACCCACCAUUCUCAGACUUUUACAAGAAACAAUGCAGGCACGUUUGAGAAGGAGCUAAUCGGAUAAAAUGUCUCACUUCAGCAAGUUCCUAUUGACAAAUUAAGAUGACUGAAACCGAAAUCAUUGAAGCCAUUGAUUUUGUUAUAAUGCUGAAUGAUAUAUCUGCAAACUGUUUUAGCAUACAACAUGCAGAUAGCAAAUAUAAACAACUUUUGGUUAAAAUAAAAUGUUCUACUUUAAAUAUUUAAAUAAGAACAUAAUUUUGUGCUAUAAAUAUUAAUGAAACAAGAACACAUUUGUGUUAGAUCAUCUUUGUGUUUAAAUGUAUCCCAUAAUGUCUUGCUUGUUUCUGUACGGAUUGAAUAUGGCUUUAAGUUCAUCCACACAUCUGAAAUCUCUAAUCUGAGAUUCAUGCUGACGCAGGUGUGAGGUACAGCCCCCUCCCUUUCUCACUUCACUACAGAAAUGAGUCCUCCACCUCCUCAUGUUCAAACAUCUGUUUUCGGUGUGGGGGUAUUUUGGGCUGAGAAACUGCGAGCUGUGGGUGAGGGGAGUGAAACUGAGAUUUGCAUACGCGGGGUAGGAGGGGGAGUGAAACUCAGAUUUGAAUGCGCAGGGCGGGGCAGGCUGGUUCUGCUGGUCCCUCAGCGGGACUGACCCAAACUGGGAACAGGGCGCCGCUGUGCCCAGGUGUCUGGGCCGUCCCCAGGGGCUCAGUGUGAGUCGAGCGCACUUCCUGCCGCACAGGACUGCUCUGAGCGCGCUCACACAUCACUGCUCCUCUCAGCAGGGCUCCAGAGCUGGGCCUGCCCCUCCCUGACUGAUUCCGCAUCGCUCACUUCACACACAGCCUCUCAGCACUAUGGAGCCCAUUAUAAACACCUGCAUUUAUUCAAUAAGAAACAUCCCAAUAAAAUAGAGUAUCACAUUCUGUGUAUAAUUUCAAAUGAAGGACUUUAAGAAUGUAGUGGACCCAUAAUCUUUGCUUAAUUACGUUUUUAUUGAUAUGGUUUUUUUAUUAUUUCAUUUGUUUAUAGUACUUCUUGUAAUUAAUUAUAAUUAUAUUGUCCGUGAAAAGAAAACUCAGGUUACAUUUCUUAGGUGAUUCUUCCUAAAUUUAUAUCAAAUACGCUGUUCAGAUUCAGGAAUAAAUAUCUAUUUGCGAUUAAA